CGAAGGGGAGCAGAUGGUCGCUCCUCCUGAUAUCACGCGAAGCGGGAAAUGAGGAGGAGAGGAAAGUCCGAGCUCCAAAGGGCAGGGUGGUCCGUAACACGGACUGCCCCUGUGAAGUAGGCGCAGCCGCCACUUCACGGGGGUAAGGAAAGUGCCACAGAAAACAUACCGCCCUGUGGAGUAGGCGUAGCCGCCACUCCACAGGGUAAGGGUGAAAAGGCGAGGCAAGGGCUCACCAGUACCCUGAGCGAUUGGGGUAGCUAGGUAAACCCCACCCGGAGCAAGACCAAAUAGGUUCCGCUUCCUCCCUGUGGAGUGGCGGCUACGCCUACUCCACAGGGGAGAUAAGAAAAGCCCAUUCAAAUUUGUCCCGAGGCAAUAGCAUCGGGACAAAGGCGGGACGGGUGAGGUCGCUUGAGACCCUGAGCAAUCAGGGCCCUAGAUAAAUGGCCAUCCUCCCGAUUCCCACUGAAAAGCGGGAUCGGGAUGACAGAACUCGGCUUAUGGUCCCCUUCGAAAA
This 520-nucleotide RNase P RNA is filed under the name Deltaproteobacteria bacterium CG_4_8_14_3_um_filter_45_9. RNAcentral's name for it is "RNase P RNA component class A". It matches the Rfam family "Bacterial RNase P class A". Rfam says of the family: Ribonuclease P (RNase P) is a ubiquitous endoribonuclease, found in archaea, bacteria and eukarya as well as chloroplasts and mitochondria. RNAcentral also lists the same sequence under 1 other name. Lineage: Bacteria; Deltaproteobacteria. The record is from RNAcentral.